This 434-nucleotide ribosomal RNA is filed under the name uncultured Coprococcus sp. RNAcentral's name for it is "partial 16S ribosomal RNA". It matches the Rfam family "Bacterial small subunit ribosomal RNA", at positions 341 to 792 of the family's 1533-position model. The record is from RNAcentral. Lineage: Bacteria; Bacillati; Bacillota; Clostridia; Lachnospirales; Lachnospiraceae.
ACGGGAGGCAGCAGUGGGGAAUAUUGCACAAUGGGGGAAACCCUGAUGCAGCGACGCCGCGUGAGUGAAGAAGUAUUUCGGUAUGUAAAGCUCUAUCAGCAGGGAAGAUAAUGACGGUACCUGACUAAGAAGCCCCGGCUAACUACGUGCCAGCAGCCGCGGUAAUACGUAGGGGGCAAGCGUUAUCCGGAUUUACUGGGUGUAAAGGGAGCGUAGGCGGCCGAGCAAGUCAGAAGUGAAAACCCAGGGCUCAACUCUGGGAUUGCUUUUGAAACUGUCCGGCUAGAUUUCAGGAGAGGUAAGCGGAAUUCCUAGUGUAGCGGUGAAAUGCGUAGAUAUUAGGAGGAACACCAGUGGCGAAGGCGGCUUACUGGACUGACAAUGACGCUGAGGCUCGAAAGCGUGGGGAGCAAACAGGAUUAGAUACCCUGGUA